GUGGGGAAUUUUGGACAAUGGGCGCAAGCCUGAUCCAGCAAUGCCGCGUGUGUGAAGAAGGCCUUCGGGUUGUAAAGCACUUUUGGCAGGAAAGAAAUAGUGCGUGCUAAUACCAUGCGCGAAUGACGGUACCUGCAGAAUAAGCACCGGCUAACUACGUGCCAGCAGCCGCGGUAAGACGUAGGGUGCAAGCGUUAAUCGGAAUUACUGGGCGUAAAGCGUGCGCAGGCGGUUUUGUAAGACAGGUGUGAAAUCCCCGGGCUCAACCUGGGAACUGCACUUGUGACUGCAAGGCUAGAGUGUGUCAGAGGGAGGUGGAAUUCCGCGUGUAGCAGUGAAAUGCGUAGAUAUCCGGAGGAACACCAGUGGCGAAGGCGGCUUCCUGGACAGUAACUGACGCUGAGACGCGAAAGCGUGGGGAGCAAACAGGAUUAGAAACCCGGGUAGUCC
RNAcentral lists this ribosomal RNA (450 nucleotides) under uncultured bacterium. Its description in RNAcentral is "partial 16S ribosomal RNA". It matches the Rfam family "Bacterial small subunit ribosomal RNA", at positions 354 to 796 of the family's 1533-position model. The record is from RNAcentral.